This is a long non-coding RNA of Mustela erminea (ermine), 1095 nucleotides long. RefSeq lists it as uncharacterized. The transcript is spliced from 2 exons. The record is from RefSeq and is a predicted model, not a curated record. Lineage: Eukaryota; Metazoa; Chordata; Mammalia; Carnivora; Mustelidae.
UGCCUUAUACCUAAGAGUCUUACUCUGAUGCCAGUGUCCAGACUGGUGAGAAGUCCAUAUUCAACCCCCUUGAGGCUGGCGGCUCAGAUGGGUGCAAACACUGCCUGCCAAGUUACUCCUUAGGGCUGCCCAACAUGCUCAGCUCAGCGGCUAACUCCCUUCUGCCUGCAGAGAUCAGACUGCAGAAGUGACAUCCAUGGUGGAUUUCUCUUCCUGCCCCCAGCUGUGACCUUCCCUGGUGUCAAUAUACCUGCCCCAGCCAAGUGAGGGUCUGAGCUCAACACAGCUCAUGAAUGACUUGAUGAGUGUAAAAGCUGUGUGAACUCUCAGGGAUUGUUCUAUCCUCAUCCUCCUGUGGGAGCAGCAGUGAAAGACCCCCAGGUGUUUGUGUUCAGAAGGGAGGCCCCAGGGAGGGGGCUGUGUGACUUUGACGGGGUGAAAAAGGAGGUCUGUUGUACAAAGUUUCUGCUGAGAUUGCAAAUGUCCAUAACAAGUUAUGAAAUCCUUCUGUGGCUAAGAUCCUGUGACUUCGUCAUUGUCAUCCUUGAUUCCUCCCCUGGGUCAUGAAAGGGCAGCUGACAGGUUGUGCAGAGGAAAGGCAAGGAUCAUUUUAGUGAGCCUGUUACAAGGGACAUGGCCAACAGAAGGAGCUGCCUUUGAACUUUGACACCACAGAGGAGGCAGAAGGCUGGAAGGUUUGGACUAUACUUGUUCCAAGAUCCCAAUGGGGCCAUGAGCAUGGGCCUUCAUAGGACCCUUCUUCCUGAGGGACAUUCACCACACUAGGCCAUCAGCUGCACUGCAAAUGUCCUACCUGGGGCCUGCUUCCAUGACUCUGAUUUGCCCCAGCAGAAGAAGUGCUUGAAUCUUUAUUUUAGCUUGGAUGUGAAGUCAGUCAAAGGGAUUUCCAGGAAGUGGACAUAUCUGUGAAGAAUAUCAAGAGUUUCACCAGUCCUUGAAUCUCUGGUUAUUCCUGGAGAAUAACUACAUAACAGCCAAGGCCAUGAAGUGUGCUGAAGGUCAUUGCUUGGUGAACGAAGGCCUCCAAACCAUUCUCUUUCAGUUUUUGAAAAUAUACUUUCUACAUCUGCAAUU